Molecule: non-coding RNA, 72 nt
Organism: Bos taurus (domestic cattle)
Lineage: Eukaryota; Metazoa; Chordata; Mammalia; Artiodactyla; Bovidae
Source: Rfam
UCCCUGGUGGCUCAGAUGGUAAAGCAUCUGUCUACAAUGCAGGAGACCCGGGUUCGAUCCCUGGGUCGGGAA